Molecule: long non-coding RNA, 1431 nt
Organism: Lutra lutra (Eurasian river otter)
Lineage: Eukaryota; Metazoa; Chordata; Mammalia; Carnivora; Mustelidae
Exons: 4
Source: RefSeq, a predicted model, not a curated record
CGGAUGUAAAUAUCAUGUCUGCCAUCAGUGAGGGAUCGCAGUGGAGUUCGAGUCAAGAGCUGCCCGGAAAGCGCUCAGAGUUGGGGCUUCAAGGAGGCCUGUCAAAGAACAAAAGAUGAGAUUACUGGGGCGGCAAGGUGCCCCAAACCGCCUAAGAACUGCGCCUCCGCGCUUCCUGUUAACUUGCCGCCAAGUUUUUCUAGAGGAGUCGCUCCUUUUGGCAGGGUAGAUCUACUGGAUUCUUGGCACAGUACCAUAUGGACCUGGACAAAGCAUUGUUAAGAUUGUAGCCAAUGUGAAGAUUGUCAGAAUUCACAGAAGCACAACAUACGGCCUACCUGGGCUUUACUCUCGUGCGACUGAACAAGCAAAAUCUUUGGGCUUCAGUUUUUCAUCAUCUGUUACAUCAUGCUAAUAUUCCCCUUUACAUUUCUUAAAAAUUCUCAAAUGAGAGGGGUGCCUAGGUGGCUCAGUCAGAUGGCUACCCCAGAUGACCCAACUCAAUUUAUUGAAUAAUCCAUACUUUCCUCCACUGACUUGAGAUGCUACCUUUAUUACAUAUUAAAUUCCAUAUAUGAUUAGGUUUCUUUUUGGAAUUUCUCUUGUUUCAUUGAACUGUCAGCUCAUUUGCCAGUAGUACAGUGACUUACUUAUUACAGGUUUGUAAUAUAUUUUAAUGUGUCAAAGAGCUUGUCUCCCCUUGGUAGCCUUUUUCAGAAUUUUCCUUUUUAUUCUUGUUGAGUUCAUUGUAAAAAAUUGGCUUGUGAGGUUAAUUUAUAGAUGAAUGUAAGAAUUGUCACCUUUAUCAUGUUGAUGCUUCCUGUCUUAAGAAUAUGGCAUGACUGGGGCACCUGGAUGGCUCAGUCAGUUAAGCAUGUCUUCGGCUCAGGUCAUGAUCUCAGGGUCCUGGGAUGGAGCUCCAUGCCUGGCUCCCUGCUCAUUGGGGAGCCUGCUUCCCUUCUCUCUCUCUGCCCCUCCCCACCACUUGUGUUCUCUCUCUCAAGUAAAUGAACAAAAUCUUAAACAAAUAUGGCAUGACCUGUUCAAGUAUUCUUUUGUGUCACUCACAAAUAUUUCAAGUUUUCUUCAUAUCAAUCUUGCACAUGUCUUAAUGUUUAUUGCUAGACAUUUUAUCUUCUUUGGUGCCAUUAUAAUUGAUUAUAUCUUUCAUUAAAUCUAACUGCUAGCUGUUUGCAUAUAUGAAAGCUAUUUUAAUUAUGCACCCAAUUUACUGAAUUCGCUUACUGUCUGUCGUAGUUUUUCAGUUGGUUAUCUUGGAGUUUCCGGGUGUACAAUCAUAUCUACAAAUAGUGGCAAUUUUACCUCCUCCUUUUCAAUUAUUUUUUUUAAGAUUUUAUUUAUUUAUUUGACAGAGAGAGAGAGAUCACAAGGAAGCAGAGAGAGAGUGGGAAGCAGGCUCCCUGCUGAGCA